AAGUCGUAACAAGGUCUCCGUUGGUGAACCAGCGGAGGGAUCAUUAUUAGAGCCUAAAAACUCACCUAAACCAUUGUGAACUUACCUAUUCGUUGCUUCGGUGGGGUGGCCCCUCCGGGGGUCCUCUGGGCCGCAAGGCGCCCGCCGGAGGUUAUUUUUAAAACACUCUGUCUUCUAUUGUACCUCUGAACAAAAAAAAUAAAAAAACAAUCAAAACUUUCAACAACGGAUCUCUUGGCUCUA
Molecule: unclassified non-coding RNA, 243 nt
Filed under: fungal sp.
Lineage: Eukaryota; Fungi
Description: partial internal transcribed spacer region
Rfam family: Eukaryotic small subunit ribosomal RNA (bases 1-46)
Source: RNAcentral